GGCAACAUGCUCAGGUCUCUUACCACGCUGUGGAAGCUUUGUUCUUUCGCUCUUUGCAAUGAAUCCUGCUGCUGCUCACUCUUUGGGUCCACACUGCCUUUAUGAGCUGUAACACUCACUGUGAAGGUCCGCAGCUUCCCUCCUGAGCCAGCGAGACCAGGAACCCACCAGAAGGAAGAAACUCAGAACACAUCCCAACAUCAGAAGGAACAAACUCCAGACGCGCCACCUUAAGAGCUGUAACACUCACCGCGAGGGUCUGCGGCUUCAUUCUUCAAAGUCCAUUCUAAGUUGUUCUGUCAGUGAAACUCUGUUUAAAACAUGGCUUGUAUGAAGUUGUCAGGAAUCGGCUCUGACACUUGGAUGAUUCUUCAGCUGGCUAUAAAAUUCUAAAAUCAGAGUAACCGUGUAUUGACUUCCAACAUUCCACAUUUCCAAAGGUGUUUCCUGUGAUCUCUGGGAUCCUGAUCCGCACCACUCAACUUUGGCCUCCUAAACUUCAUCCUUGACCCCACCCCAGGUAGGAAGGAUGUGUGGAUAUUUCUUUUAUCUUUCUGCAACGAUGACCUUUUGGAGAAAAAGAAAGGAAGCAGGACCUCUUGACCAGAAUUUAUCCAGCACUCCAGCACGGCUUGCACGUUAUCUGGAGUAAAGAGACCUUCUGGGAUUUCAUCAGCCUCCUGUCCAUCAAGAGUUCUUCCAGUUUUUGACUGACUGAAUUUUCAGUGAACUGUGUGUCUAACUGAAGCUUUGAGAGAGAGAGAGAGAGAAAGAAGGAAAAAAAGAAAAGGUUUUACUUCACUUGAACUUGUUAAAAAGGAAGAGACACAGAUCCAGCAUAGUAGAAGGAGAAAGAAAGCAGACAACAGUUUGGAAUGGAGGCAUUGAGACGGAAGAGUCCAUUGGAGAUGGAAUGUACACACAAAAAUAACAAUUUAGGUCCUUUGCUCAUGCAACAUCUUGUUCUAAUGUCCUCUGCUCCAGGUCACAACAUUGAGCUACAAAGUGUGUGCAGUGACUCCAGUCUGCAUUCAUGCUACAAGAUGAUCCGUUUAGUAAGACUGAGCAAGGCUUGUUAACCUCUUGGACGUGAGAGAUUUCCCCUGAGAAAAUAUAUAAAACAAGAGAAAAGAAAGAAAAUCAAGUACGAUCACUGAAAACCUGCUUAGUAGUAGCAACUAUUUACUGUAGCUGAUUUUUGUGCAAGGUCAACACUGAACCCUUUAAGUCCAUCUUAGUUCAAACCUCAUGACCAACCUGCCUUCCCCCCUCCCUCCCUCCACUGACACGUCAAACAAAACUAUCCUCCCUCCCUCCACCCUCCUACCCCUCCCAAAUCCUUCCUCCCCACUGCAAACAGACUGAUGGUUUCACAGCACAGAUUAGCAAAUCAUAAAACAUAUCCAUAAAUGCUCCAUCAAGGCUUAGCAAUGAAGCAACACCUAGGUUCCCAACUGAUUAUAAACAUGUUACAACAAAUCUUAGUAAGCUGCUCUGAAAGAUAAUGUGAGUGCAUUCUUGUUCAAUGGCUGAAAUUAAUGUCACAUUUAUAAAUAUCUAGAAAUGUAGAGGAUACGAUUUAAUUAAAUAAAAUGCAGUUUUUGAGGGUGUGAUUCAUGAAACUCAAGAUUGAGUCUGUUCCCUAUCUUACAUAAUAAUGGAUAAAAAGGUGCCAAUUAUAUAUCUGAAGAUAAAAGUCUACUUGUUCCCUGUUUCUAGCUGUUGAUGUCUUCCUGUUCUUUCCUAC
Molecule: long non-coding RNA, 1747 nt
Filed under: Homo sapiens (human)
Lineage: Eukaryota; Metazoa; Chordata; Mammalia; Primates; Hominidae
Description: HSALNT0299396
Source: RNAcentral